UUUUAAAAAAUCUUAUUUAUCAUUUAAAUUAAGUAAUAAAAAUAUUACAAUUAUUUGUAUUUUCCACUUUUCGAAGUUUCUUUGUAUUUAAAUUUUUCAGAUCCGAAUUAUAACUUGGUAUCAUACCACCAAAAUCUGGACAUGUAAAUAAAAAUAGGUAUGUUGAAUCACUCUCAAGUACCACAUCAGAGAUUCCGUACUUGUAAUUGAUAACAUGUACCAAUAUCAAUGAAAGUUGAUACCUCCAAUAGAUCCAAGGUACUAAAUCACAAUUACUUUCGAAUCCAUGCAUCUAGAGAGAUUAAUUACUAUCCCCGUCGCUAGCCGGCGACAACAGGGGCAUUGUUCUCCUGCUUCCCCCGAUUCCAGCCAUCGCCUGGGUUCUGUUCAACAUCCUGGAGUCGGCCUUGAAACAGAUCAACCGGAUGCAGGAGACCGAAGACGGGGUCGUCAACCUCGGGUUGGGCGGCGAAAUCGCCGGGCUGCUGGCGGCGAUGGCUAUCUAGGCGUCAGCUACAGCUGCAGAGGCGGUGGCCUUCGGGUACAACAACAGGGGCACGCUGUUGCUGAUUGUGGUGGCGCCGGUGAUUCUGUGGGUGCUAUACAACAUUCCUCAACCUGCUUUGAACCAGAUCAACCGAAUGAGAUCUUGAGAGAUGGGAAAAUAUAAUGUAGGAUUUGGUUGAUGUAAUAAUUGGUCACCUGAAAGCAUGUGGUAGAGAUUGUUAUUGGGGGUGAGAAGGGGAUGAUGAUGAUUGAGGAGACGAAAAUAUGAUAAUGGAGGAGAUGCCGACGGUUGUGUUUUGCUUAGAUGGGUGGGUAGUUAAAUAAAAUAUUUUUUUUAAUAAUUAGAUAGUAUUUUUAUAGUUUUGUUUUUUUGUUUUAGUCUUUAAAUUUUAGUAUUUAAUUUAAUAAUAAACAAUGUUGUUGUUAUGUGAUAACAAAAUAGACGGUUAUUAUAACCGAUUUUAUCACCCAAAAUGAAUGGACUGAUAAAAUCAAUGAUGGAUAAAUUUUAAAUAAACCGCAAUGAGAACAUAUAUAUGAACACAAUCAUAAAAGGGCGAGCAGUGCAGCUGGUCCUCUGAAUCGUUGCUUUACAUUGACA
Molecule: long non-coding RNA, 1108 nt
Filed under: Linum usitatissimum (flax)
Lineage: Eukaryota; Viridiplantae; Streptophyta; Magnoliopsida; Malpighiales; Linaceae
Description: long non-coding RNA (LUSI_LNC004263)
Source: RNAcentral